CUAUGCGCCUUGCCAGCCCGCUACAGAAACUUAAAGGAAUUGACGGGGGCCCGCACAAGCGGAGGAACAUGUGGUUUAAUUCGAUGAUACGCGAGGAACCUUACCUGGGCUAGAACGCAUUCGGAAUCAGGCCGAAAGGCCUGCGCCAGCGAUGGCCGCUUGCGAGGUGCUGCAUGGUUGUCGUCAGCUCGUGCCGUGAGGUGUCGGGUUAAGUCCCAUAACGAGCGCAACCCCUACUGCUAGUUGCCAGCGGGUCAUGCCGGGGACUCUAGCGGAACUGCCAGCGUAAGCUGCGAGGAAGGUGGGGAUGACGUCAAAUCAGCACGGCCCUUACGUCCAGGGCUACACACGUGUUACAAUGGCCGGUACAGAGGGCAGCCACCCCGCGAGGGGGCGCGAAUCCCGAAAGCCGGUCCCAGUUCGGAUCGGAGUCUGCAACCCGACUCCGUGAAGCUGGAUUCGCUAGUAAUCGCGCAUCAGCCACGGCGCGGUGAAUACGUUCCCGGGCCUU
This 511-nucleotide ribosomal RNA is filed under the name uncultured Rikenellaceae bacterium. RNAcentral's name for it is "bacterial SSU rRNA". It matches the Rfam family "Bacterial small subunit ribosomal RNA", at positions 903 to 1382 of the family's 1533-position model. The record is from RNAcentral. Lineage: Bacteria; Pseudomonadati; Bacteroidota; Bacteroidia; Bacteroidales; Rikenellaceae.